Molecule: long non-coding RNA, 402 nt
Organism: Carassius gibelio (silver crucian carp)
Lineage: Eukaryota; Metazoa; Chordata; Actinopteri; Cypriniformes; Cyprinidae
Exons: 3
Source: RefSeq, a predicted model, not a curated record
UCAGCUUCAUCUACAGACGCUGAAGAAAACACUCCAUCCUCCGCUCUAAUCUUGACAUAGUGGAACACAUCGUUUCUCUGUGUCAUAAAGUAAAGAACAGCUGACAGGGACGAGUCACCAGUCGAGUGACAGACAGAUCAGGACAGGCCGAUGUUGACCAGCUCUUCUGCUGCUCAAAAAGAAACGCAACCAAGAUCAGCUGCUGGACAAGACCGACAUCCAGAUAGUCAACCUGGAGCACAUGGUGGGCUUAGAUGAUAUGAUUUGGUUUUAUUUAAAUUAAAUUAAUGCAUUUAGCAGAUGCUUUUAUCCAGAGCGACUUACAGUGCAUUCAGGCUAUCAAUUUUUACCUAUUUUAUAUUUAAUGGUAUUAAAUGAUACACACUACUAUACUACUAUCGU